GAUGAACGCUGGCGGCGUGCCUAAUACAUGCAAGUCGAGCGAACAGAUGAUGAGCUUGCUCCUCUGACGUUUGCGGAGGACGGGUGAAUAACACGUGUAUAACCUACCUAUCAGACUGGUAUAACUUCGGGAAACCGGAUCUAAUCCCGUAUAAUCUAUUGAACCGCAUGGUUCAUUAGUAAAAGUCGGUUUUGCUGUCACUUAUAGAUGGUUCCGGGCCGCAUGAGCUGGUUGGUAAGGUAACGGCUUAGCAAGGCGACGAGGCGUAGCCGACCUGAGAGAGUGGUCGGCCACACGAGAGCUGAGACACGGUCCAUACUCCUACGGGAGGCAGCAGUAGGGAAUCGGACGCAGUGGGCGAAAGUCUGACGGAGCAACGCCGCGUGAGAGAUGGAAGUGUUCGGAUCGGAAUACCCUGUUUCGGGGGAAGAACAGAUGUGGACGUAGAUAUGCACGUCUUGACGGUACCUAAUCAGAAAGCCACGGCUAACUACGUG
RNAcentral lists this ribosomal RNA (497 nucleotides) under uncultured bacterium. Its description in RNAcentral is "partial 16S ribosomal RNA". It matches the Rfam family "Bacterial small subunit ribosomal RNA", at positions 28 to 507 of the family's 1533-position model. The record is from RNAcentral.